GUGAAUCAUCGAAUCUUUGAACGCAAAUUGCACUCCUUGGUAUUCCGAGGAGUACACUUGCUUGAGGGUCAGUUAAAUAAAAUAUCGUUACAUCUUUUGAUGUUGCGGAUCUGGGUUUUCCGAUUUUAAGUCGGUUACCUAAAAUUAAGGAUUAUAUAAUGUGAUACGUACUAAGAUAAAAGUCGUUAAUCAUUAAUCUUUAUUACAUUACCAACUAUUAUGUUUUUAGUAGUAGGAAUGUAUAAUUUUUUGAAAAUGACCUCAAGUCAAGUGAGAAUACCCGCUGAACUUAAGCAUAUC
This 300-nucleotide unclassified non-coding RNA is filed under the name uncultured Scutellospora. RNAcentral's name for it is "sequence contains 5.8S rRNA gene, ITS2". The stretch from base 1 to 71 matches the Rfam family "5.8S ribosomal RNA", at positions 84 to 154 of the family's 154-position model. The record is from RNAcentral. Lineage: Eukaryota; Fungi; Glomeromycota; Glomeromycetes; Diversisporales; Gigasporaceae.